GUGCACCCCCCCAGAAAAUCCGUCCUUGAUUACAACCUGAAUAAGCAGAAGGUUUCGGUGGUGAGGGAAUAUUCAUUAGGGAGCAGAAACGUCUCACAGAAGCUUCUCCUUGUCCAAUGGCAAUGCUUUCUCAUUGCAUAAACAAGUCUUCUGUUUACAUAAAAAAAAUGUUUGACUUUUUUAUGUAAAAAUGUAUAAACCCAACCACAUUUAUCACAACACAGCCGAAGAUGAGAAGCACAACCUAUUUUUUCCCAAGGAUCAUCUUUAAGACUAAGACUAGAUUCUCCACAUAACUUACAAUGACACUUGCUGCAAAAGUUCAUUCAGUUAUUACACAUCAAUGAAAUGAUAAGCAAUUAUUUUAGGCUCUUCAUCUUUGGAACUGCUACUGGUCAGUAGCAUCAAAGCUACAAGACUGACCUAUUUUUCUUGCUGAAGCAGAGAGAUUAGUAACCGACUCACUAGAAACUCACUGGUUGCUCAAUACUGUCAACACAAGUUUUCUCUGCAAAGCUAAAAUGGGAAUACUUCAAUAUAGUAUACUUGAAAGGGAGGUGUAAAAACCGAUCUAAAUAUAAAUUAUUCAAACCUAGAACGCUUUCAAAGAGGCAGAUACCGUAAACCUCCGACUGUAAGCUCUGGGCUUAUAUACUUUCGUAAGCGAUUUUUGAUGGGCUUAUACAAGGGGAGGGGGGCUUAUAUACGGGUGGGCUUAUACAUGGACGAUCUUUUGUGUUAGUAAUAAAAAAAAAAUGAAAAAAAAAAUGAUUCCAAUGAUUCCACAACCCGUUACGUCGUUACGGUCUCCGCAUACUUCUGGCCUCUAACAGAUGUCUCCUAAAUAAUUCGUCGCCAAUCUGGUACAAAAUUUAAGAUAAAUCUUCGGAGAAUCUCGUGGUAUAAUUUUCGUGUUAUUAAUUUGUGAAUUCAAUAAUAUAUUUUUGGAUUUUCUAUCGUGAACAUCUGCCUGCCCCGUGUCUCUCGCUACAAAUCGUGAACUUUGGGUUUUGAGC
Non-coding RNA from Paramuricea clavata, 1016 nucleotides. Lineage: Eukaryota; Metazoa; Cnidaria; Anthozoa; Malacalcyonacea; Plexauridae. The record is from the annotation of a GenBank genome assembly.